AUACGGAGGGUGCAAGCGUUAAUCGGAAUUACUGGGCGUAAGGCGCAUGUAGGCUGUACGGCAAGUUGGAGGUGAAAUCCCACGGCUCAACCGUGGAACUGCCUUCAAAACUACCGAACUGGAGUGCGAGAGAGGAUAGCGGAAUUCCAGGUGUAGGAGUGAAAUCCGUAGAUAUCUGGAAGAACAUCAGUGGCGAAGGCGGCUAUCUGGCUCGUAACUGACGCUGAGAUGCGAAAGCGUGGGUAGC
Molecule: ribosomal RNA, 247 nt
Filed under: uncultured bacterium
Lineage: Bacteria
Description: partial 16S ribosomal RNA
Rfam family: Bacterial small subunit ribosomal RNA
Source: RNAcentral